UCGAUAUAUAUAUAUGUAUAGUUCCUUGCCAUAUUGAUCGUGUGAAUAGGGGAAAAGAGUGAAGCCAAAUAGACAUGUACACAUACAAACACACAAAAUAAAUAGAUGCUCAUACCAUCAAAAAUGUCAUAGAAUAUCAUACUCAUAAUUCAUAAAGUAUGCAGCUUUUUUUGUCAAAAUCUUAGACUAAAAUAAAAUAGUGCUCCCCAAAAGUCAGAAACUCUUCAAUUAAUGCUCUGCACUCUAUCAAACUUCUCAACAGUAUCAAAUCACAGGAUAUGUACACACACAAUCAUACUUACACUAUAGCUAGAUAUCAUACAUAUACAUCAUUUCUAUUAGUUUUUUCACACAAAUUUCUUAGUUUCUAACACUUACAUUAUUUCAAUGCCUUGUUGUCAUUCGAUAUUGCAAUAAAAAGAUUACCGAGUUCGAGUAUAAACUUAAUUAACUUCUACAUCAACUAGCCAAAAGCCAAUACCAAAUAAAUGAUCAAAUGUAGUAGUACCUGGAGAACAACGUGCCACAGUCGCACUUAUACUCACGAGUGCCACAAGUUUUCGCGUGCGCCUUCCAAUCAGAUUGAACAGCAUAUUUCUUAGAACACUUUUCGC
Molecule: long non-coding RNA, 614 nt
Filed under: Brassica rapa (field mustard)
Lineage: Eukaryota; Viridiplantae; Streptophyta; Magnoliopsida; Brassicales; Brassicaceae
Description: long non-coding RNA (BRAP_LNC007992)
Source: RNAcentral